GACGAACGCUGGCGGCGUGCUUAACACAUGCAAGUCGAACGGAAAGGCCCUGCUUUUGUGGGGUGCUCGAGUGGCGAACGGGUGAGUAACACGUGAGUAACCUGCCCUUGACUUUGGGAUAACUUCAGGAAACUGGGGCUAAUACCGGAUAGGAGCUCCUGCUGCAUGGUGGGGGUUGGAAAGUUUCGGCGGUUGGGGAUGGACUCGCGGCUUAUCAGCUUGUUGGUGGGGUAGUGGCUUACCAAGGCUUUGACGGGUAGCCGGCCUGAGAGGGUGACCGGAAGCAGAGGGAGGGGAAUGAGGCCGAGAAGCGUGAGGGGGGCAGAGGGGGCGAAAGAAGAACGAGGGAGGCAGGAUGGAGGAAGAAACGGGGUGGGCGGGAUGACGGGCGGAGGGGUGUAAAACGUGGUCGGCGGGGACGAGGGGGGAGUGAGGGAGAUGGGUAAAGAAGAACCGGGAAACAACGGGCCAGAAGGGGCGGUAUUAGGAGAAAGAGAAAAGUAUGAAC
RNAcentral lists this ribosomal RNA (508 nucleotides) under uncultured bacterium. RNAcentral's name for it is "partial 16S ribosomal RNA". The stretch from base 20 to 329 matches the Rfam family "Bacterial small subunit ribosomal RNA", at positions 47 to 358 of the family's 1533-position model. The record is from RNAcentral.